Long non-coding RNA from Heterocephalus glaber (naked mole-rat), 5583 nucleotides. RefSeq lists it as uncharacterized. The record is from RefSeq and is a predicted model, not a curated record. NCBI's taxonomy places the organism in Eukaryota, Metazoa, Chordata, Mammalia, Rodentia, Bathyergidae.
CAAAGAGAAACUUCACUCUUGAAUCUUUCUUUAAAAGUAAUAAUAAUGUCUUACAUUUGCAUGACAGGAAAAGCUUUGCAGAUGCAUUUCACAUACAUUAUCUCCUUUGCCUCUCAAUAUUCCUAUGAACUAGGUGGAAUAGUUACUAUUCUCUGUAUGCUUUAUGAGCAAAAUAGAAAGCAGCCUUAGCACAUUUGAAAUGUAAUUUCCUUUACAAAAAUUCACCUCAUCACCUCUUUAGAAAGUACAAUCCAUUGUGAAAAAUAUGCCUACCUCCUUUUACUCAUAUAUAUGUAUAGUUAGGGUCCUGUUUCUUUCUUUCUGUGUAACAAAUUACCCUAAAACUUAGUGGUUUAAAACAUCAUUUUACUAUUUUAAAUUGUCAUUUUAAAACAUUUUACUAUUUUUCGGUCAAUGGUUCAAUAUGAUUCGGUGGGGUAAGUGCUCUGUUUCCUGUGGAGUCUCCUGAGAUCUCUUGGUAAUACUCAUCUGUGAGCUCCAGAGCUGAUCUGGAGAUCCCAAGAUGGCUUUAUUCAUAAAUUUAGUGCUGCAUGGGGAUGGCUGGACUGUCAACUAGAACACCUACACUUAGUGCUUGCAAGAUGGUAUCAGGAGAGUUGGAAACUCAGGGCUUUUAAAGAUACUGGUCCAAGAAAACCUAAAUGGAAGCUGUCAUUUAUUAAGGUCUAGGACUCAGUGAAAGGUAAAUCUUUCAAAACUUUCAGUGAUACAAACAGCCCACCGCAGCACGUGUGCCAUAGGUUCGCCACCACCCCCCCCCACACUGGUCAGGUUCGAGAACCAGCUCAGUAUCACUUCUGCCAUAUUCUCUUGGUCAGAGCAAGUCAUGGAGCCCAUCCAGAGUUGAGAGGAAGGGACAUAUUCCCUAUCUCGUAACCGAAAGGAUGUCAAAGACUUUGCUGCUAUUUUUAAUUUGUCACAAUCCCCUCUCCAUGCAAGAAUACAUUCCUUCUCUUUGAAGAGCUCCCAGAUUCCCAUCUCAUAGCAUCAGUACCCAGGCACUAUCAGGAUCAGGCUCAAGAGCCAGAAUCUUGGCUUUCAGAUCAGGUCCAGUUAUGAAUGUAACUCUUUAGUUUCAUUCUGACUGUUGUCAUCUUAACCUGUGAACUAGAGAAAUAAAUUUGUUAAGACAGUGGUAAGCUAAAUGCAAUAGGCAUUCUCAUUCAAAAAUGGAGGGAAUAGAAAUCACAGAGUAGUUUCUAGUCUGGCAUUUCUGAAAUCUCGCUCACUAUAGCUGACUUUUUUCUUUUUCUUUUUUUUUUUGUUUUCUAAGACAAGGUCUCGCUAUGCAGACCUCACUAUAUAGUCUGGGCUGGCCUCAAAUUCAGGCAAUCCUCCUGCUUCUGCCUUCUGAGUGCUGGGACUACAGAACUAAGAUACUGUGGCCAUUACAUCCAGCCACAGUUGACACUUUAUCAGUCCUUCCUAGAAAUUAUGUGAUAAUAUAAUAAAAUAAUACACACAUUAUUUAUAUAUUUAAAAUAAUUAUAUCAACAUUAUUCAUGCAAUUAGAAUGAUUUAAUAGUUUACUUUUUAGCUCACCUUUCUCUAUUAAUAGUACAUCAUGCAUAUCUGAUUUAAAUCAUUGGCUCUUUUGGCACUCCUUCCAGAAACUGAAAGCCUGCCAAUUCUGUCACUUCAUUAGGCAUAUUUUCUGUUGCCUAGAUUACCACAGGUAACAAUGUUGCCAAAAUUGCUGCCACUUCAAAACCAGAGUCACAUAUUCUCCAGCCUCCAAUAGCAAUUGCUGUACUAUGUGGUCACCCACAGUUUCCUCCAGGCUCUUCCACUUUCAUGAACAGUGUCUUCAAGGUUUUUCCAGCUUCUGUCUUCUUCCUGGUUCCAAAAUCAUGGUUUUAGGUUAUUGUUGUGGUAGCACUUCUCUUUCAGGUAUCAAAUUCUGUUCCCUUUUUCUAUUGGUAUAAAAUAAAUCAUUCUAAAAUCUGUCUAGGAAGAGUAAGCAUUUUGUUAUAUCAACGUUUUGCUGCUUGGGAAUCAGGCACAGAUGUCUCAGUUGGGUGAUUCUUAACCUAGAUCCUUAGGUGAUCUUGGGCUUCUGGGUUGGCUGGACAGGAAGGUCAGGAUGGCUGCAGUCAUCUGAUGGCACGAUGGCAGUUUUGGCUGAAAGUUGGGCUCACCUGGGUCUGCUGAUGAAGUGUCUACACAUGACCUCUCUAAGAGAGCAGCUUUAGGGUGAUAGGAGCUCUUAACAGUGAUCCAGGGAUCCCAGAGAUUGUGUUUUAAGAGGUAAGAGUUGGAAAUUGUCAAUUUCUUAGGUCCUAGAACUGGAAUCUGACCCAGUUCCACUUCUGCUCUCUUCUAUUGGCCAAACACUCACAGAGACCACCCCAAUUCAAGAGCAUGAGGUGUAGACUUCAUCUGUCCAUAGGUUUACAAAUGGUUAAUUUUUCGUUCUGAAUUAUUUGCUAGUACAUAGCUGUUUGACUCGGUGGGCUAACUCAGCAUUGCCUGUUCAAAGUUCUGGUUCCAUUUCUCCCACUGCUUGGCUGUGUUUGAGCUGAGGCAAAUAACCUUUGGGUUUCAGUUUCCAUAAGAGAUAAAAUGGGGAUGGUGAUAGCUGUUGGCAGUCGUGGCUUUUGGGGAUGUUAUGCUUUAAAAAAAAAAAUCAAUAUUCAAAAAGUGUACUUUAAAAUGCUCUAGGAAGUAGAAGAAUAAAUUACCAUAACUAACUGGACCAUUACCAAUUCAUCACAUUUUCAUAUUGAGGGUGAAAAUUGGGUCUCAGUAUUUUACAGGAUCAACAGGGCCACAAAGGAACUUGGGUACACACAGCCCUCACACCAUGAGCUCACAAUCCACAACUUAGUGUCCUUUCCCUCGGUGCUUCCUGUGCCAGGUGAUGUAUGUUUUCUUACUGUAUCUUUGCAACAUCCUUUUGAGGUGGGUGGUGUUAUUAACAUCUUAAUCAUGUUUUCUGAAACAUUUUUGUUCUGGAGUUUAAAUUCUAACACAUCCUUUGCAUAUUUAUACAUAAUACAUCUUAAAAGAAUCUAAUGAAAACUUUAGUAGAGUCUGUAGGGGUUUUAAAAAAAUUCUAGGAAAAUUGUCCUUUUAAAUUUUAUACAAAUAUUCUUGCAAAAUGAGAUAAAAGCAGAUCUAUGAAGAUAUAAAAAUGAUAUAACCAGGGGAAGAUAAAAAAUAGAAGGAAAGCGAUUAGCAGAAGCUCAUUUUACUUCCGCAAGUCAGAAGGAAGAUGGGAUGACUCUUACAGUAGGAGGGAAUGGGCUGGAAGCCAAGAAUGAAGUGUGCACCCUUGAAGAGUUUCUUGACUCCUCUGAAGUUUGCUUUGGUGUCUUAUGAAAGGCUGGACCUAGAUGACCUCUAAGGUCAUAUCAACUUGAAUACUUUCCUAUGACUCCAAGAAAUGGUGACAGAACGCUAAAUUCAGUAAGUAAACCCACCUGUUAAAGAAGUAAUGCUGUGGAUUAGAGAAUAGGAUUAGAAAAUGAUAAAAAGAAGAGACAGGGGUUUGGAACUUUGGCCUGGAAAAUAAAAAUUAGUAGAAUGACCAUAAAGACUGGGAAAAGGGAAAGAAAAGAGCAGGCAAGGAGGAAAAUCAAGAUAAAAAAUAAUGCUAAGCUUGGGCAUCAAGAAGGUAAUUUUCAAAAAGUUUUAUUUAAUCUUUCAAGAAAUGUUUAUUGAGCUUUCCAAGUAUCAGGCCUUACUUUAGGUAUUUAAGUUGUAGUUGCUUUCAAAAACUCUCUUUCUUCAUAGAGCUUACAUUCUAGGCUGGGGAAUUCAGGCAAUAAAUAGGAUAAGCAAGUAAAAUGUAUGGUAUGUUGGAUAAUGAUAAGUGGUUAGCAGAGGAAUGAAGUGGGGUCGUGUGGGUAGAGCAUGUAACAUCAGGUGGACUGGGCCAGGAAGACUUUACCGAGUAAGGAUCUGAAGAAAGUGAAGUGAAUAAGCUAUGGUUAUUUUGCUUCCUAGUUCAUGGGGGAAAUGAAAGCACUCAGAAGAACAGUCCAGGCAGGGAGACUAGCAAGUUCAAAGCUUCAUAGAUGGGAGCAUGCCUGAUAUAUUCAAGGAAAGGCUAGGAAACCAGUAAAGCUACAAUGGGAUAAAUGAAGAGGAGGAGAGAAGGAGGGGAGAUGACAAAAAAGACUUUGGAAGAUGUUAAGCAGAGAGUGCCAUAUGACAUACUUGAAUAUGAUAAUUUUAUUGCUGUUUCAACAGAAUCUAAAAAAGAGCAAGGACAGAAAAAGGAAGAGCAGCAAGGAUGCUACUGCACCAACCCAGGUCUAAAAGAAUGGGACUUGAUCCUCUUGACACCAUUUGGAAGAUCAUGUUUAGAAGAACUACAAAAACUAUGCUGGGCUUGUACAUGUCUCAGGACAUAAAUAUGGUUUUCAUAAAGCCCAGAUUGUAUUCCAAAAUAGCCCAUAAGUCCAACAACAGGUGUUAUAUAUUGUACCCUUUUUAAGCACUUUACUUUGAAGAGGGAUACAAAUGAGAGCUUCUGAUGAGAUGACUAGGGAUCUACUGGGCCAGCAUGUCUUGAAGAUGGAGCUUGCUCAUGUGAAUGGCUCAGCAGAUGCAGUGAACUCACAUCCCACUGGAGGCCAUCGCAUGGAGGGGGGUAGCUGUGCCAAUGUUCAUGUGAAGAGGACACUGGGAAUUGAAGGAGGGAUCGAACUCGGGAACUUGUGCUUGCGAGGCAGGCGGCGGAAUCGCUGAGCUAAAUCCCUGGCCCCAUGCAAGUAAUUUUUGCACAUAUCUCAGUUCUUCAGGAACCAGAGAAAGCUUUGUGGUGUUCUUCAAACCAGAAAUUGCUCUACUCCAAAUCCAGAGAAGUCUUUUGGAAUCCCCUUUGCUACAACAACCUUGGAGGGAAGAAAACACGGUUUCUUAGAUUGUCUAUCCAAGGAACACACACCAGCCUUUUCACAGAAAACUGGCAGCUAAUCAAAAUAUACUGUUAGAGGUACAAGUGGUUCAAAAAGACUGAAGACCUAAAAGUUUAAACUUUUUUCUGACUUCCCUGACAAGGGCACUUUGCAGCCCAAGAUCUUGCUUCUCAGCACCUAGCACAGUUUGCCCCCAUGUUUUAGAUUGGUCUUUCUCCUCUAGAAGACUCCAGGAGGGCUGGUGCCCUGACAUAGGCUGAGUGCUCAGAAUUUGUUCAGUGAAUCAACAAAUGUUGAGCAGUUGCUGACAUGGAGGCUGAGAAUUCUCUACAAUUAGCAGAUCAGAUUUGAUAAAAGGAAAUGACCAGUCUGAUCUAGAUUCUUGUAGGUUGUAGACUACAUGUCUACAGUGCAUGCAUGGCAUUAGUGCAUGAAUGAUUUUACUGCAUGUGUGACACUGUAUCACAGAAUGCCAGAGGUAAGAUACGAGGAAGGCAUAGAUUUUUCUGUUUCUAAGUGCAAAACAUUAAACAUGAAUCUGAGAUGGACAAAAGAGUCUGUAUUUUCAUCAGUUAAAAUUGUAUACUUUUAGCCUAUUGUCUAUGGCCAUAUCUAUUUGCUUUCAAAAUUAUUUUCCUAUUAAAAAUAAAAAUUUAGGAAAUCAUUUCCCAUCUGGCUAAGGAGAUCUAAAGUGGAU